AUGAAAUUUUUUUUUUUUUAUCUAUACUUAAAAUCAAACAUUCUGAAAACUGUCUCCUGCACUUUAGUUCAUAUCUCAACUAAUCUCUCACAUAAAUAAUUAUAAUAAUUACCGACUGUCCCUAGAGCAAGUGGCAAAAGGCUUGGUGGUUGGUAUCCGAGACCCAAGUUCGAAUCCUAGUUGAUUUACAUUUCUAGCUAAGUUUAUUUCUAAUGAAAUAAACGAAGCGGGUAGCAUGCUAUCUAUCUCUAAAAAAAAAAAAAAAUUAUAAUAAUUUUUAUUUCACGUUUAUUUUCACUAUCAAAUUUAAAAUUUUGAAAUAAUUACUAACUUA
RNAcentral lists this long non-coding RNA (334 nucleotides) under Ananas comosus (pineapple). RNAcentral's name for it is "long non-coding RNA (ACOM_LNC021833)". The record is from RNAcentral. Lineage: Eukaryota; Viridiplantae; Streptophyta; Magnoliopsida; Poales; Bromeliaceae.